AACGAACGCUGGCGGCAUGCCUAACACAUGCAAGUCGAACGAGACCUUCGGGUCUAGUGGCGCACGGGUGCGUAACGCGUGGGAACCUGCCCUUAGGUUCGGCAUAACUCCCCGACAGGGGUGCUAAUACCGGAUAAUGUCUUCGGCCCAAAGAUUUAUCGCCUUUGGAUGGGCCCGCGUUGGAUUAGCUAGUUGGUAGGGUAAAAGCCUACCAAGGCGACGAUCCAUAGCUGGUCUGAGAGGAUGAGCAGCCACACUGGGACUGAGACACGGCCCAGACUCCUACGGGAGGCAGCAGUGGGGAAUAUUGGACAAUGGGCGAAAGCCUGAUCCAGCAAUGCCGCGUGAGUGAUGAAGGCCUUAGGGUUGUAAAGCUCUUUUACCCGGGAUGAUAAUGACAGUACCGGGAGAAUAAGCUCCGGCUAACUCCGUG
This 433-nucleotide ribosomal RNA is filed under the name uncultured bacterium. RNAcentral's name for it is "partial 16S ribosomal RNA". It matches the Rfam family "Bacterial small subunit ribosomal RNA", at positions 29 to 507 of the family's 1533-position model. The record is from RNAcentral.